RNAcentral lists this non-coding RNA (29 nucleotides) under Rattus norvegicus (Norway rat). Lineage: Eukaryota; Metazoa; Chordata; Mammalia; Rodentia; Muridae. The record is from RNAcentral.
UGGCCAUUUUGGGUAGUCCUGAUAGCAGA